RNAcentral lists this ribosomal RNA (254 nucleotides) under uncultured bacterium. RNAcentral describes it as "partial 16S ribosomal RNA". It matches the Rfam family "Bacterial small subunit ribosomal RNA", at positions 524 to 776 of the family's 1533-position model. The record is from RNAcentral.
GACGAACCGUGCGAACGUUAUUCGGAAUCAUUGGGCUUAAAGGGCGCGUAGACGGGCUGUCGCGUCGAAGGCUGAAAGCCCCGGGCUCAACCUGGGAAUUGCAUUCGAGACUGCGUAGCUAGGGUGCGGAAGAGGGAAGCGGAAUUUCCGGUGUAGCGGUGAAAUGCGUAGAUAUCGGAAGGAACACCAGUGGCGAAAGCGGCUUCCUGGUCCAGCACCGACGUUCAGGCACGAAAGCGUGGGGAGCAAACAGG